RNAcentral lists this ribosomal RNA (62 nucleotides) under uncultured organism. RNAcentral's name for it is "partial 16S ribosomal RNA". The record is from RNAcentral.
UGGGCUUGACAUGUCCGGAACCCUGCAGAGAUGCGGGAGUGCCCUUCGGGGAAUCGGAACAC